RNAcentral lists this ribosomal RNA (439 nucleotides) under uncultured bacterium. Its description in RNAcentral is "partial 16S ribosomal RNA". It matches the Rfam family "Bacterial small subunit ribosomal RNA", at positions 338 to 795 of the family's 1533-position model. The record is from RNAcentral.
CCUACGGGGGGCAGCAGUGGGGAAUAUUGGACAAUGGGGGAAACCCUGAUCCAGCGACGCCGCGUGAGUGAAGAAGUAUUUCGGUACGUAAAGCUCUAUCAGCAGGAAAGAAAAUGACGGUACCUGACUAAGAAGCCCCGGCUAACUACGUGCCAGCAGCCGCGGUAAUACGUAGGGGGCAAGCGUUAUCCGGAUUUACUGGGUGUAAAGGGAGCGUAGACGGCAGCGCAAGUCUGGAGUAAAAUGCCGGGGCCCAACCCCGGAACUGCUCUGGAAACUGGGAGGCUGGGGUGCAGGAGAGGGAGGCGGAAUGCCGGGGGUGGGGGGGAAAUGCGUGGAUAUCAGGAGGAACACCGGCGGCGAGGGCGGCUAACGGGACUGUAACUGACGUUGAGGCUCGAAGGCGUGGGGAGCAAACAGGAUUAGAUACCGGGUAGUC